AGUAGUGGAGGGCUUUCUGACGAUGAGGAAAUGGACAUUGAUUGAAAUAAAUUGGACAUAGUAGAAACGCGGGGGUUAGGAAGGACAGGUUGAAAUCUGCGCCGACACGGAAGCGAGCACUUGAAGAGGAAGAUGGCUCCACAGAAACCAGGGCCAAGCCUAUCCAGAAGAAGCAGCCUUUGGAGGAGGAGCUACAGCAGUGAACAUGAAAGGCUUCAUGUAGGAGCUGAAGAGCUGCUGUGUUCUCUCUAUUGUUCAUUCAGUCCAAGAGGAAAUCAUGUUGCUGCUUUUCAUUUGGAUGAUGAUAGUCUCCUUUCAGACUGGAUCCUCUGAGGAUUUACUGACACCAUCUAAAGAUGUAGUGAUGAGUUUGGAAGGAGACACUGUGACUCUCUCCUGCAACUAUUCAGGCUCUGUAUAUUCACUUUUCUGGUACCAUCAGAAGUCUGGUUCACAUCCACAGCUUGUUAUGGCAGAUUAUUCAAAGCAAACAGAAAAGCUGAAGUUUAUACAUGACAAAGAAAAACAGGAGUUUCAUCUGGAGCUCUCCUCUGCUGCAGUGUCUGACUCUGCUGUGUACUACUGUGCUCUGCAGCCCACAGUGACAGGAAACAGCAAAACUCUGUACAAAAACCUUUGGAGCAAAGACAACAGAAUACUCCACAACAUCCACUAGAGGGAGCCACACACUGUUAAACCUCUGAUUCUUGUGUCAUUGGACUGAUGACAAAGACAACAGAGAAAUGAAGCAGUAAAGAUCAGAGACAGAGACAGAGCUGCUGUGGAAGCACAAAACUGUUUGAUUGGCUCAGCGAUUAAACUGGCCCCGCCCACUGAAGUUGAGCUCAUCCAAUGACAUUAUUUGUUGGUCAUUGUGCUGCAGUGGAAGAACAUUGUUCAUGUGUUGUCUGUCUGGCUUUAAUAACUCCAAAGACAUGUUGCUGCACCUCUUUUUGCUUCUAUCUCACAUUAUAGGACUCACAUUAUAGGUGUGUAAGAUCUCACCUG
Non-coding RNA from Pundamilia nyererei, 1008 nucleotides. NCBI's taxonomy places the organism in Eukaryota, Metazoa, Chordata, Actinopteri, Cichliformes, Cichlidae. The record is from the annotation of a RefSeq genome assembly.